CGGAGCCGCGGGCCGCGGGAAGGGGAGGAGCGCCGCGCGGCGCCCCGCGCGCAGGGAGGCAGAGAUGGAGCGUACAUCUCCCAGCUCCCGCAUCAAACCUGGAUACACGUCCGCGGAGAAAACGAAACGCCUCUCAUUUUUCUGGGAUGUGCUCUUUUUGGACAAACUUUGCUCAGGGUGUCCGCAGAUCCAGCUGGGACACUGUGAAGCCCUUUUGGGUUCUCAGUUGGGUUGAACUCUGGAAGGGAGGGUCUCUGGAGCUGAGGGAUGUUGAGCUGGGUUUGGGCUCCGCUCGGCAAGGCUCAAAGACUUUUUCCACGAGGGAGUCCCUCCCUCCCGAGGGGAAAAUCCGUCCCGAAUACGACACCGAGUGACUGCGCAUCCAGAAUGUGCCAGGUGUGAUAGGCUCAUCUGUAAAUAAAACAAAGACCCCGCUCUCAAGAAUCUUGUGUCCUUGGGGCCGCACAGAAAAUGAAAACUAAGCUCUAUGCACACAUAGUUUGGGGUUGGAUUUUUUUGCAACCUGCUAUGCACGUGAGCCUCCAGUACCAUCUAUGGCGUGUGUCUGAGAGCGCUAAACCCUGCAAAGCUCAGGCGGUGACAGAUGAAGACCUGAUGGGACGACUUCCAACGCUCUGAGUUCGGGCCUUGCCCAGAGCCCCGGAUCCUUGAGUCCUCCCUCUGAAUCGGACCAGUCGCUCGCGUAAAUGAGGUCUUCCGGGAUAGGCCAUUGAAUUCCUGAUGUGUCAGAAAGGAGGCAGAGGAAUCCGACCCGCGUUCCCCUUGGGGAUGGAGUCCUGUUUGCAGGACGAUGAGAUAUGCUGAGUGUAUCUGUCAUUUGGUAACAGGCUCCUAUAGAGGGCGUUAUUUUCCUAGUGGUUUGAAACUCCAGUGGUUUCAAAUGAUGCUCAUUUAUUAUCUUGGCGGUUGUGGUGGUCAGAAGUCCAAAGCGGAUCUUCCGGGGCUAACAUCACAGUAUUAUCAGGGCUACUUUCCCCUGUGGAAGUUUUAGGGGCGAGUUGUUUCCUUGCCCUUUCCAGCUUUAGAGGGCGCCCAUGGUUUUUGUCUCUUGGCUCCCUAUUCAUCUUCAAAGCCAGCAGGUGGGGCAAGAUCUUAUCACGUGAUAUGGCUCUGCCCUCUCCCUUCGGCCUCCCUCUCCCACGUUGAAGGAUGCUUGUGAUCCUAUUGGGCCCACCUGGAUAAACUCUGUUGCAAGGUUGGCUGAUUAUCGAGCUUAAUUCCACGUGCAGCCUUAACACCUCUUGCUAUGUGAUGUAACAUACAGAUUCCUGGUUCAGACAGUGGGGAAGGGGCAUUGUGUCAUCAGGGGGCACAGAGGGAUCUCUUACUCUACCCACAUGUUGUUGCUCUCUGGCGAGCCCCAGGCUCCUGCCCUGCAAUGAAAAGAAGUGGAGGGAGGUUUGGGAAGAGCCCAGGAGCCUGGAAGAAGCCCGGCCAGCUCUGGAAUGCCGGUGGCUGGGAGGUGCCCUGCAGGGAAGAGAGGCCUGGGAUAAGGAAUGCUAAUGAAUUAUCUGAGUGGAGGAAAAAACUGAUUCUGAGCAAUAUUAAAAAAAAAAAAAAAAAAAAAA
Sus scrofa (pig) is the source of this 1589-nucleotide non-coding RNA. NCBI's taxonomy places the organism in Eukaryota, Metazoa, Chordata, Mammalia, Artiodactyla, Suidae. The record is from RefSeq and is a predicted model, not a curated record.